This 207-nucleotide ribosomal RNA is filed under the name uncultured bacterium. RNAcentral's name for it is "partial 16S ribosomal RNA". It matches the Rfam family "Bacterial small subunit ribosomal RNA", at positions 568 to 774 of the family's 1533-position model. The record is from RNAcentral.
CGCGUAGGCGGGCUCGCAAGUCCGGGGUGAAAGCCCCCAGCUCAACUGGGGAAGCGCCUUGGAUACUGCGGGCCUGGAGGGAGGUAGGGGCGUGCGGAACUUCCGGUGGAGCGGUGAAAUGCGUAGAUAUCGGAAGGAACACCGGUGGCGAAGGCGGCGCGCUGGACCUCUUCUGACGCUGAGGCGCGAAAGCCAGGGGAGCAAACG